AGACCCUGUUGAGCUUGACUCU
Molecule: non-coding RNA, 22 nt
Filed under: Arabidopsis thaliana (thale cress)
Lineage: Eukaryota; Viridiplantae; Streptophyta; Magnoliopsida; Brassicales; Brassicaceae
Also listed under: 3 other names
Source: RNAcentral